AUGGAUUUAAAUUUGUAGCUUCAAGCUACUAGCCAGGCCUUAAAUGUUACUUGCCCCUGUAAGUCAUAGCAUGCCCUCCAAGGGUGAAAUUCUACUCACCAAUAGCUGGUGGAGCCAUGACAUGGAGCUAUAAUAUAGAAUAUAAAAAAUAUACAGUUUCCAUUUUAUUAUUAUUCCUCUGAGGCCUUAUUCUCCUGGUUGUGAUAUUGGCUGCCCUCAC
This is a non-coding RNA of Pelobates cultripes (western spadefoot toad), 220 nucleotides long. The record is from the annotation of a GenBank genome assembly. Lineage: Eukaryota; Metazoa; Chordata; Amphibia; Anura; Pelobatidae.